This 253-nucleotide ribosomal RNA is filed under the name uncultured bacterium. RNAcentral describes it as "partial 16S ribosomal RNA". It matches the Rfam family "Bacterial small subunit ribosomal RNA", at positions 524 to 776 of the family's 1533-position model. The record is from RNAcentral.
UACGAAGGGGGCUAGCGUUGCUCGGAAUCACUGGGCGUAAAGGGUGCGUAGGCGGGUCUUUAAGUCAGGGGUGAAAUCCUGGAGCUCAACUUCAGAACUGCCUUUGAUACUGAAGAUCUUGAGUUCGGGAGAGGUGAGUGGAACUGCGAGUGUAGAGGUGAAAUUCGUAGAUAUUCGCAAGAACACCAGUGGCGAAGGCGGCUCACUGGCCCGAUACUGACGCUGAUGCACGAAAGCGUGGGGAGCAAACAGG